GCGGAAGGAUCAUUCAUUGAGCAUGGUAGGCCAAGCCUACACAAGCCUUUCUACUCUAAGUGAGCCCAUCUGGGCUCACUGUGAUACUGAGAUGGGUCUGAGAAGAAGCCCUUUUAUGAUUUGCUUUCGGGCGUCUCAGCCAGGCUUUCAGCCUUUUUUCAUUCAACUGUGAGUUGGAUGCGCUGUAUCACUCAGUUGGUCAUGUUUGAAAGCAAUCGGACUCUUAGGAGGGGGGGCAUCCCUCUUCUGAGUGUCAAUGAGCCUUUGGGCGAGCCUUUGGGCUCAAACAGGCUCAAACAAAUUCUGUCCAUAAAUCAUGGACUUCAUUUGACAACUUUCAGCAAUGGAUCUCUUGGUUCUCGCAUCGAUGAAGAACGCAGUGAAAUGCGAUAACUGGUGUGAAUUGCAUCCAAGUAACUCUAAUUUACGAAUAACACCAAGUGAAUCAUCGAGUCUUUGAACGCAAUUGCGCCCUCUCGGUCGCUUCCAAUUGGGGGUUGACUCAUAGGGGGUACAUCUGUUCGAGGGUCAUUUGAGUCUCUCAAAAGGGGUUUAUCACUCCUUUGGGUUUUGGGUCUUGCUGUGAAAUUUAUCUCGGCUUACCUUGAAAGCAUUAGCAAGCAUCUCAAGUCUUUUGUGAUGAGGGCGUUCUAAUUGGUCUUGACUGGUCUGUGUAGCCGUGUAAAAGACGUCUAAACAUCAUAGAAAGCGAUGCUAGCUUCCAAUCAUCCCUAUGGGAUGGGCAUUGAGCUCAAUGCCUCCUUCAAUGACCUCGAAUCAGAUGAGAAUACCCGCUGAACUUAAGC
This 806-nucleotide ribosomal RNA is filed under the name Craterellus parvogriseus. RNAcentral's name for it is "eukaryotic LSU rRNA". The stretch from base 333 to 531 matches the Rfam family "5.8S ribosomal RNA". The record is from RNAcentral. Lineage: Eukaryota; Fungi; Basidiomycota; Agaricomycetes; Cantharellales; Hydnaceae.